AGAGUUUGAUCAUGGCUCAGAUUGAACGCUAGCGGCAUGCUUUACACAUGCAAGUCGAACGGCAGCGCGGGGCAACCUGGCGGCGAGUGGCGAACGGGUGAGUAAUACAUCGGAACGUACCCUGUGAUGGGGGAUAACCACGCGAAAGCGUGACUAAUACCGCAUACGACCCAAGGGUGAAAGUGGGGGAUCGCAAGACCUCACGUCAUAGGAGCGGCCGAUGGCGGAUUAGCUAGUUGGUGAGGUAAAGGCUCACCAAGGCGACGAUCCGUAGC
RNAcentral lists this ribosomal RNA (275 nucleotides) under uncultured Thiomonas sp. Its description in RNAcentral is "partial 16S ribosomal RNA". It matches the Rfam family "Bacterial small subunit ribosomal RNA", at positions 8 to 287 of the family's 1533-position model. The record is from RNAcentral. Lineage: Bacteria; Pseudomonadati; Pseudomonadota; Betaproteobacteria; Burkholderiales.